This 632-nucleotide ribosomal RNA is filed under the name Aspergillus oryzae. RNAcentral describes it as "eukaryotic LSU rRNA". It matches the Rfam family "Eukaryotic large subunit ribosomal RNA", at positions 1 to 649 of the family's 3401-position model. The record is from RNAcentral. Lineage: Eukaryota; Fungi; Ascomycota; Eurotiomycetes; Eurotiales; Aspergillaceae.
GACCUCGGAUCAGGUAGGGAUACCCGCUGAACUUAAGCAUAUCAAUAAGCGGAGGAAAAGAAACCAACCGGGAUUGCCUCAGUAACGGCGAGUGAAGCGGCAAGAGCUCAAAUUUGAAAGCUGGCUCCUUCGGGGUCCGCAUUGUAAUUUGCAGAGGAUGCUUCGGGUGCGGCCCCUGUCUAAGUGCCCUGGAACGGGCCGUCAGAGAGGGUGAGAAUCCCGUCUGGGAUGGGGUGUCCGCGCCCGUGUGAAGCUCCUUCGACGAGUCGAGUUGUUUGGGAAUGCAGCUCUAAAUGGGUGGUAAAUUUCAUCUAAAGCUAAAUACUGGCCGGAGACCGAUAGCGCACAAGUAGAGUGAUCGAAAGAUGAAAAGCACUUUGAAAAGAGAGUUAAAAAGCACGUGAAAUUGUUGAAAGGGAAGCGCUUGCGACCAGACUCGCCUCCAGGGUUCAGCCGGCAUUCGUGCCGGUGUACUUCCCUGGGGGCGGGCCAGCGUCGGUUUGGGCGGCCGGUCAAAGGCUCCCGGAAUGUAGUGCCCUCCGGGGCACCUUAUAGCCGGGAGUGCAAUGCGGCCAGCCUGGACCGAGGAACGCGCUUCGGCACGGACGCUGGCAUAAUGGUCGUAAACGACC